Molecule: transfer RNA, 77 nt
Filed under: Rhodospirillales bacterium
Lineage: Bacteria; Pseudomonadati; Pseudomonadota; Alphaproteobacteria; Rhodospirillales
Description: tRNA-Pro
Rfam family: tRNA
About the family: Transfer RNA (tRNA) molecules are approximately 80 nucleotides in length. Their secondary structure includes four short double-helical elements and three loops (D, anti-codon, and T loops). Further hydrogen bonds mediate the characteristic L-shaped molecular structure. tRNAs have two regions of fundamental functional importance: the anti-codon, which is responsible for specific mRNA codon recognition, and the 3' end, to which the tRNAs corresponding amino acid is attached (by aminoacyl-tRNA synthetases). tRNAs cope with the degeneracy of the genetic code in two manners: having more than one tRNA (with a specific anti-codon) for a particular amino acid; and 'wobble' base-pairing, i.e. permitting non-standard base-pairing at the 3rd anti-codon position.
Source: RNAcentral
CGGAGCGUGGCGCAGUCUGGUAGCGCACUUGCAUGGGGUGCAAGGGGUCGUGGGUUCAAAUCCCGCCGCUCCGACCA